Molecule: small nuclear RNA, 105 nt
Filed under: Phascolarctos cinereus (koala)
Lineage: Eukaryota; Metazoa; Chordata; Mammalia; Diprotodontia; Phascolarctidae
Source: RNAcentral
UGCUUGUUUCGGCAGCAAUAUACUAAAAUUGGAAUGAUACAGAAAAGAUUAGCAUGGCCCCUGGGCAAGGAUGACAUGCAAAUUCGUGAAGUUUCCAUAUUUUUA